Cercocebus atys (sooty mangabey) is the source of this 107-nucleotide small nuclear RNA. NCBI's taxonomy places the organism in Eukaryota, Metazoa, Chordata, Mammalia, Primates, Cercopithecidae. The record is from Ensembl.
GUGCUCGCUUAGGCAGCACAGAUACUAAAAUUGGAAUGAUACAGAGAAGAUUAGCAUGGCCUCUAUACAAGAAUGACACAUAGAUUUGUGAAGUGUUCCAUAUUUUU